RNAcentral lists this ribosomal RNA (388 nucleotides) under uncultured bacterium. RNAcentral's name for it is "bacterial SSU rRNA". It matches the Rfam family "Bacterial small subunit ribosomal RNA", at positions 28 to 417 of the family's 1533-position model. The record is from RNAcentral.
GACGAACGCUGGCGGCGUGCUUAACACAUGCAAGUCGAGCGGUAAGGCCCUUUCGGGGGUACACGAGCGGCGAACGGGUGAGUAACACGUGGGUGACCUGCCCUCAGCUCUGGGAUAAGCCUGGGAAACCGGGUCUAAUACUGGAUAUGACUCCAUGACGCAUGUUGUGGGGUGGAAAGCCUUGUGCGGCUGAGGAUGGGCCCGCGGCCUAUCAGCUUGUUGGUGGGGUGANGGCCUACCAAGGCGAUGACGGGUAGCCGGCCUGAGAGGGCGACCGGCCACACUGGGACUGAGACACGGCCCAGACUCCUACGGGAGGCAGCAGUGGGGAAUCUUGCGCAAUGGGCGAAAGCCUGACGCAGCGACGCCGCGUGAGGGAUGACGGCCU